RNAcentral lists this microRNA precursor (247 nucleotides) under Medicago truncatula (barrel medic). RNAcentral's name for it is "miR2673a stem-loop (mtr-MIR2673a)". Lineage: Eukaryota; Viridiplantae; Streptophyta; Magnoliopsida; Fabales; Fabaceae. The record is from miRBase by way of RNAcentral.
GUCUUCCUCUUCCUCUUCCUCUUCCACAUCCUCGUCAAGAAUUUCAGCAUCAUCGUUAGUUUCCAUAGCGACUUCAUUUUGCAUUUGUGAAGCUGAAUUGGUCCAGAUUUCAUUAACGAAGUCAUCGUCAUUAAACCCUGCUGCCAGAUUUUCUAUGGGAUUUGUUUGUGAAUUUGGCCAUUGAGGUGCAUAGCUUGUUUGGGGAUAGUUGACAAAGUGUGGAGGGGUUGGUAGGUUGAACGAGGAG